Molecule: ribosomal RNA, 253 nt
Filed under: uncultured bacterium
Lineage: Bacteria
Description: partial 16S ribosomal RNA
Rfam family: Bacterial small subunit ribosomal RNA
Source: RNAcentral
UACGUAGGGUGCGAGCGUUAAUCGGAAUUACUGGGCGUAAAGUGUGCGCAGGCGGCCGCGCAAGUCGAGUGUGAAAGCCCCGAGCUUAACUUGGGAAUUGCGCUCGAAACUACGUGGCUGGAGUGUGGCAGAGGAAGGUGGAAUUCCACGUGUAGCGGUGAAAUGCGUAGAGAUGCGGAGGAACACCGAUGGCGAAGGCAGCCCCCUGGGCUAACACUGACGCUCAGGCACGAAAGCGUGGGGAGCAAACAGG